CUUCAAUAAAUUUAUCUUUCCGUGCAUUUCAACUCAAAUCACUGUUUCCUUAUUUCUAUCAAUUCAGAAAGCAGCGCGUCGAUAAUUUCUUAUUCAAGUGGUGUUCUGUGCAUUCGGUGUCAAUCAACGUUGAAAUCGUACCAGCACUUCAUUCACAUGAAUUGAAGCAGAAUUGCGGUGAUUCGUUUAUUUGAUUCGUUGCAGCUUAUUGGCAGGUGAAGAAAAUGGAGAUUAGAAGUGCAUGAAUUUGAUUCGUUGAUUUAUUCAUACUGACUCGAACCGUUGAUGUUCGACUACGGUGUAGUUAAAUCAAUUCCAAUUGCUAACUCCAUUUCAAUUUACUGAACAAUUAUCGGUGGUCGGUUUAAUUCGUUGAAGCGCCAUACAUAUGCAGAAGCUUUUUUUCAGUCGUUUAGCUUUAUUCAAAUCAACCUCCUUUGAUUUUUGGAGACUGAGCGGACGCGUUUGGUGCCUUUUGAUUGACAUUCACGUGAAGCGGUGGAAGCAAAUUUCAAGGCAGCAGGUGAGAUAGCAAUUUUGAUAAAAAAAGCAGAUGCCGAGGAAGAUACUUUGGAAAUAGCUCUUGAUGGGGAAGGAAAUGCUGCUGCCUAGUUCUCUAGGCUUUAAUUCUCUUAUCCUAGGAUGUUUUGAAGAAACUUUAUUAUGUUCUAAGUUUUAAAUUCUCUGUACUUUGAAGAGAGAAACUUUCAUACUCCAGCUCUAAAUUCUUGUACAGUUAAGGAUGACUGUACUCCUAAUUAAUCUUGACAGCUUUCCUUUAU
Molecule: long non-coding RNA, 782 nt
Organism: Vigna radiata var. radiata (mung bean)
Lineage: Eukaryota; Viridiplantae; Streptophyta; Magnoliopsida; Fabales; Fabaceae
Exons: 3
Source: RefSeq, a predicted model, not a curated record